AUGUGGGCUGAGGGCUCCUCCGGCUCCCGGCGCUCCUGGGGGGACGUGGGGGUGUCAGCGAGGGGCCUGGGGGGGUCCAGGCACCGGGGACCCCGAUAUCAGCCCUCCAACAUCGGCCACGCAACAUCAGUCCCCCAGGUCUGCAUCCGUUUGUGCUCCAACAUCCGCCCCCACCAUCAGCACUCCGACAUCUGCGCCCCAACUUCAUUACCCCCACAUCGUCUGCCCCGCGACAUCUGGAUCCCAAAUUCUGCACCCCAACAGCUGCACCCCAACACUGACACCCAAACAUCUGCGUCCCGCCCCAUCGCCAGCCCCCGACAUCACCAACACCUGCACAUCUGCACCCCAACACUGACCCUCACCUUCUGCACCCCAACACCAGCACCCCAACACCAGCACCCCAACAGUGACCUCCCAGCAUCUGCAUCUCACCUUUCUGCACCCCAACACCAGCACCCCAACAGCUGCAUCCCAUGUGCACUCCAACAUCUGCCCUCCAACUCCAGCACCCCAUCACUGGCCCCCAGACAUCAAUACCCCAACAUCUGCCCCACAGCUUCGUUACCCCAACAUCUGCCUUCCAACAUUGAUGCCCAACAUCAACAUCUGCAUCCCAACACUGGACCCCCAAUAUUGGCCCCCAAAAAUCUGCACCCCAACAUCACUACCCCAACGUCUCCAUCCCAACAUCUGCACCUCAACAUCAUUGAUCCCCAACUUCUGCACCCCGGCAUCAGCAUCUCAACAUCUGCACAACCCCAUUUGCAAACCAUCGGCCCCCAAAAUCUGCACCCCAGCAUUGGCACCCCAACAGCUGCACCCCAACAUCUGCACACCGACUUCCCCACCCAUAUCUGCAUCCCAACAUUGGCACUUCAAAAUCACCCCCCCAAAGCUGGUACCCCAGUACCUGCACCCCAAAUUCAACACCCCAACAUCAGACCCCAAAAUCUGCACCCCAGCAUUGGUACCCCAACAUCAGCCCCCCAACAUCUGCAUCCCAACAUCAAUACCCCGACAUCUGCACCCAAACUCAUCAGCAUCCCAUGUGCGUCCCAACAUCAGACCCCUAACAAACAUCUGACCCCAUGUCUGCACCCCAAUAUCUGCGUCCCAAUGUCUGCAUCCCAGCACAGGCACCCCAACAUGGGUAUCCCAACAUCUGCACCCCUUUAUUCAUCCCAUCGUUGUCCCCACAACAUCUGUCUCCUGCAUCCGACCCCAAACAUCAGUACCCAAAGAUCUGCACCCCAACAUUGGCACCCCAAAAUCUGCACUCCAGCAGUUGCACCCCAACAGACGCCUGGCCCCAUGUCUGCACCCCAAUAUCUGCAUCCAUCACAUUGGCAUCCCUUUAUGUGCCCCAUCGUCGGCCCCCCAACAUCUGCACCCCAAAAACUGCACCCCAGCAUCGCUACCCCAACGUCUGCAUCCCAACAUCGGCCCCCCAAUAUCUGUACCCCAAGAUCUGCUCCCUAA
This 1482-nucleotide long non-coding RNA is filed under the name Phasianus colchicus (ring-necked pheasant). Its description in RNAcentral is "lncRNA (ENSPCLG00000010781.1)". The record is from RNAcentral. Lineage: Eukaryota; Metazoa; Chordata; Aves; Galliformes; Phasianidae.